RNAcentral lists this ribosomal RNA (1311 nucleotides) under Lepidurus arcticus. RNAcentral describes it as "16S ribosomal RNA". The stretch from base 610 to 1311 matches the Rfam family "Archaeal large subunit ribosomal RNA", at positions 1423 to 2918 of the family's 2987-position model. The record is from RNAcentral. Lineage: Eukaryota; Metazoa; Arthropoda; Branchiopoda; Notostraca; Triopsidae.
AAUAUAAUUAUUGCUUAAUAUAUUAGGAAAAGUAAUUUUAAGGGUUUAAAUUAAGUAACUAGUAGUGAAUAGUUGAGUUAGCGAUAGUAAAAUAGUACUGAAAAGGAAAUAUGAAAUAAUAUGAAAAUUUAAUUUUAAAAUAGCAGAUAUUAGUAAUCGUACCUUGUGUAUCAGGGGGCUAUUAAUAAAUUUUAUUUAUUUAAAAUUCCCAAAAGAGAAAGAUCUAAUAGCCCGCAAAUGUUUAUGUAUCAUUAUAAUUUUUAACGGGUUAUUAGUAGUGAAAUAUUAAUCGGUUUCUUUGAUAUUUGGUUCCCUAAGAAAUAAAUUUAAUUUACUUUUUUGUUAAUUUUGUCUAAAUUAAUAGUAAAGAUAACAUAAAGGUUAGGGCUUGAGGGAUUAGCUUCUAGCCCUAUUAACAAUUAUGUGUAAUUUGUGAGAAAGAGUUAUGUUUUUAUGCUUAGAAAUAGCAAUAAGUAAAAAUAGUGUUAUAAUUUACAUUUAUUAUGAAAUUAUUUUUUAUAAAAUUCACAUUUUUUAUUAGGGUAAGUACUAAAUUUUAAUAAGAAUUUAAAUAAUAUAGUUAUGAGUAGAAAUUUAUUGCAAAUUGUUAUUUUUUUUGUAAAUUAUGAUUAAGGAACUCGGCAAAUAUAUUUUUCGCCUGUUUAUCAAAAACAUCUCCUUAUGAUAUAAUAUAAGGUAUAGCCUGCUCUAUGAAUUGUUUUAAAUGGCCGCGGUAUUUUGACCGUGCGAAGGUAGCAUAAUCAUUAGUCUUUUAAUUGAAGGCUGGUAUGAAUGGCUGGACGAGAAAAUUUCUGUCUCUAUCAUAAAAUUUGAAUUUUAUUUUUAAGUGAAAAAGCUUAAAUAAUUUUGAGGGACGAUAAGACCCUAUGGAUCUUUAUAUGAAUUUAUAAUAAAAAGAUUGGAGAGUUACGGCUUAUUAUAAAUAAAUAUUGUGUUGGGGCGACUGAAAGAAAUAAAUAUCUCUUUUUAAUAAUAAAUAUAACUUUAUAGAAGUAUAAUGACCCUUAAUUUUGGUUUAUAAGACUAAGUUACCCUAGGGAUAACAGCGUAAUUUUUUCAGAGAGUUCUUAUCGAUGAAAAAGUUUGCGACCUCGAUGUUGGAUUAAGAUAUCCUUAUGGCGCAGCUGUUAUAAAGGAAAGUCUGUUCGACUUUUAAAUUCUUACAUGAUCUGAGUUCAAACCGGCGUGAGCCAGGUUGGUUUCUAUCUUCAAAUUUUUUAUUUCAUUUUAGUACGAAAGGAUUAAAUGGGGAGAGUAUAGCUUUAUAAUUAGAAUAAUAUUAAUAUCUUU